ACAGGCCUGCGCGCUACCCGCUUUACGUAGAUGAGGGAUGACGCAGGCACAGGCCUGCGCGCCGCACGCUUUACCUAGAUGAGGGAUGGCGCAGGUACAGGCCUGCGUGCCUCACGUUUUAUGUACAUGAGGGAUGACGCAGGCACAGGAAUUGGCACAACCUGAAGUCAGCUCUGCAGCUUUCCAAGCUUCGUUCUGCGUGUCCUGUACUCAACAGUCAUCUCAUGCUGCAGGGUGGCUGCGUGUGCUCCGUACAUCACACCCAUAUUUCAGGUAGGGACGGUUCCCGGAGGGUGCUCAGCACCAUUCCGACUACUGCUGGCUGGCACGUUCGCACGUGGCCAUGCCAGCUCCAAGGACGAUGCCGACAUCCUGCUGGCUGGCACUUCCGUACGUGGCCAUGUUAGCUGAGAGGGUGAUGCCAACAUCCUGCUGGCUGGCAUGUUUGCAUGCAGCCAUGUUAGCUGCGAGGACAAUGCUUCUGCAACUUUUGGUUUCUUCCCUUUCAUCCUCCCACCCCUGACCGUUUUUGCCUGGGAGCAAGUGCCUAAUAAAUCACCUGCACUCAAAUCUUUG
Molecule: long non-coding RNA, 576 nt
Filed under: Pongo abelii (Sumatran orangutan)
Lineage: Eukaryota; Metazoa; Chordata; Mammalia; Primates; Hominidae
Description: lincRNA
Source: RNAcentral